Molecule: long non-coding RNA, 501 nt
Filed under: Rattus norvegicus (Norway rat)
Lineage: Eukaryota; Metazoa; Chordata; Mammalia; Rodentia; Muridae
Description: long non-coding RNA NONRATT009417
Source: RNAcentral
UAAUCCCCACAGCCACACCCAGAGGAGUGACUACUCCAAAGAGGUUGGAAGAAAAUAAUGCAAGGACUACAGAAAUUUCCAGAAGAAGAGUGAGUGUUUAGAGCAGACAAAACAGCCAAUGGAAGCCCUACUAAGGUUCCUCUCUGGGAGUGGCGCUUCUUGACAAGGGUUUUAGGAAGUGUGCCCUUGUUAGAGUAGAUGCAGCCUUGUUGGAGGAAGUAUGCCUCUGGGGUGAGCUUUGGAAUUUCAAAUGCUCACGCCAGGCCCAGUGUCUCUCUCACCUGCUGCUUCUGGAUCUGAUACAGAGCUCUCCGUACUCUCCAGCACCAUGUCUGCCUACAUGCUGCCACGCUUCCUGCCAUGACAAAGGGCUACAUGUCUGAAUGAUAAGCAAGCCACAAUUAAACGCUUUAUUUUCUAAGAGUUUCUGUGACCGUGUGUCUCUUCACAGCAAUAAACACUGGAACUAAAACAUUGUAGAAUAUAAUAAAAAGAGAAAUC